AACGAACGCUGGCGGCAUGCCUAACACAUGCAAGUCGAACGAGACCUUCGGGUCUAGUGGCGCACGGGUGCGUAACGCGUGGGAAUCUGCCCUUAGGUACGGAAUAACUCAGGGAAACUUGAGCUAAUACCGGAUACGUCCGCGAGGAGAAAGAUUCAUCGCCGGAGGAUUGGCCCGCGUCUGAUUAGCUUGUUGGUGAGGUAACGGCUCACCAAGGCGACGAUCAGUAGCUGGUCUGAGAGGAUGAUCAGCCACAUUGGGACUGAGACACGGCCCAAACUCCUACGGGAGGCAGCAGUGGGGAAUAUUGGACAAUGGGGGAAACCCUGAUCCAGCAAUGCCGCGUGAGUGAUGAAGGCCUUAGGGUUGUAAAGCUCUUUUCGGCGGGGACGAUGAUGACGGUACCCGCAGAAGAAGCCCCGGCUAACUUCGUGCCAGCAGCCGCCGUAAC
RNAcentral lists this ribosomal RNA (451 nucleotides) under uncultured bacterium. RNAcentral describes it as "bacterial SSU rRNA". It matches the Rfam family "Bacterial small subunit ribosomal RNA", at positions 29 to 524 of the family's 1533-position model. The record is from RNAcentral.